RNAcentral lists this ribosomal RNA (504 nucleotides) under uncultured Glomus. RNAcentral's name for it is "SSU rRNA". It matches the Rfam family "Eukaryotic small subunit ribosomal RNA", at positions 569 to 1078 of the family's 1831-position model. Lineage: Eukaryota; Fungi; Glomeromycota; Glomeromycetes; Glomerales; Glomeraceae. The record is from RNAcentral.
AGCAGCCGCGGUAAUUCCAGCUCCAAUAGCGUAUAUUAAAGUUGUUGCAGUUAAAAAGCUCGUAGUUGAAUUUCGGGAUCAAUACGUCGGUCGUGCCUCGGUACGUACUGGCGUCAUUGAUUUCUCCCUUCUGAAGAACCGUGAUGCCAUUAACCUGGUGUCAUGGGAAAUCAGGACUGUUACUUUGAAAAGAUUAGAGUGUUUAAAGCAGGCUCGCGCUUGAAUACAUUAGCAUGGAAUAAUGAAAUAGGACGUUUGAUUCUAUUUUGUUGGUUUCUAGGAUCGACGUAAUGAUUAAUAGGGAUAGUUGGGGGCAUUAGUAUUCAAUUGUCAGAGGUGAAAUUCUUGGAUUUAUUGAAGACUGACUACUGCGAUAGCAUUUGCCAAGGAUGUUUUCAUUAAUCAAGAACGAAAGUUAAGGGGAUCGAAGACGAUCAGAUACCGUCGUAGUCUUAACCAUAAACUAUGCCGACUAGGGAUCGGAUGAUGUUAAUUUUUAAUUGA